This 458-nucleotide ribosomal RNA is filed under the name uncultured bacterium. RNAcentral describes it as "partial 16S ribosomal RNA". It matches the Rfam family "Bacterial small subunit ribosomal RNA", at positions 338 to 795 of the family's 1533-position model. The record is from RNAcentral.
CCUACGGGAGGCUGCAGUGAGGAAUAUUGGUCAAUGGGCGAGAGCCUGAUCCAGCCAAGUCGCGUGAGGGAGUACUGCCCUAUGGGUUGUAAACCUCUUUUGUCGGGGAGCAAAAGUCGGACGUGUUCGGCUGUGAGAGUACCCGAAGCAAAAGCAUCGGCUACCUCCGUGCCAGCACCCGCGGUAAUACGGAGGAUGCGGGCGGUAUCCGGAGUUUUUGGGUUUAAAGGGUGCGCAGGCGGAUUUUUAGGACCACGGUCAAAUCGUGGGGCUCAACCCCAUCCAGCCGUUGAAACUGGGGGGCUAGAGUGUGCGAGAGGGAUGCAGAAUGCGUGGUGUAGCGGUGAAAUGCGUAGAUAUCACGCAGAACCCCGAUUGCGAAGGCAGCAUACCGGUGAACAACUGACGCUCAGGCACGAAAGCGUGGGUAUCGAACAGGAUUAGAUACCCCUGUAGUC